Molecule: long non-coding RNA, 11057 nt
Organism: Gasterosteus aculeatus aculeatus (three-spined stickleback)
Lineage: Eukaryota; Metazoa; Chordata; Actinopteri; Perciformes; Gasterosteidae
Source: Ensembl
CUGAUAAUGCUGUUCUUCUGCUGUAUUGCAGGUUGGAGUCUACUUGCCACAGACUGCCUGCAGUCAUUUCCAUUCCACAAUUCCCACAAGAUGUCCAGAGCUGCUUAGAUGCUAAAGAACCGGUCCACAAGAAACAAAAGUACCGUAACAAAAUAAUUGGGAAUCUGUAUGACAUGCUGUCACAGUGUACAAUGUAAGUGUUCUUUUUAAAACUUUUAAAUUAAACCUUUGCAAGUAAAUACCAAUACUUUAUCCAUACACCUGUUCAACAAGCAUACAUUUAAACAGGUAGAAAGUGAUAUUUAAAUUUUCUCCUGCAGUCUCUUAUUCACCGUAAUAUGGUAAUGUGGUUUGUUUUGUCAUUGUUUGAGACAGGUAUCCAACCAACUCGGACUACGUUCAGGUCGUUAAAGCGUUCAUUGGGAAGUACCCUUUCUUAAGGGAUGUACACGGGAAUGGUUAUGUAAGUACCUCUCCUUUGGGCUCUAAUUUUAACAGAUUUUAGAUUUACAGAAGUAUGCAUAAUUAACUUUCAUUAUAUCUGUUUGGAACAACCAGCAUACCUGGCACAGCCAACUCAAGAGAAAAUUCAAAACAGAACGGGCUCCACUAAUCAACAAUGAGGAAGUAAAACGGGUCAAAGAAAAGUUUCGGCAAGCAAGAUCACUGAAGACCCCAGAAGAAUCUACAUCCACAUGUCCAAAACGACUGAAGCCAUCUCUAGUAAGUCCCCUCAAUCUCACAUAAGCUAAGGCAAGAUCACAUUGUUAUAUUGUGUACAUAUGAUCUGUAACCAGUGACAUCUGCUUUGAUAAUGGAAUCAUGCAUUGUGGGGGAGGAUGCAACCUCUGUUGAGGCUCAUAUCAACAGAAACAGAAAGUUGCAUCCCGACAUGAAUCUGGUGAAAGACCGCAUGAUGAAAACCUUUGCAUGGAGACGCCGAGAAAUAGCAAAAGGAAUGUCAACUGAAGAUCUGUUGAGGAGAUAUCCAUUCCUAAGAACAUCCGCUGGGGUAAGAACAAUUAAGCUGCUGCCAACUUCAGCCACAGUCAGUGCUUUAAAUUGCUCCUGGUCUAUAUAUUAACACUUAACAGAAAUUCUGAAAAAAGGUUCAUAUAGACUUCUCCUACAGUUGUAAUUAAUUUCCAUUUGUAAGAUUUUACUGCAUCUGUCCUAGCUGCCACUUCAGCGUUCCUCCUAUGCCUUUCUUUCCCCUAUUUUCUUUUUAAAAUCUCAGUUGUGCGAUGAGCUUGAUGCCAUGCACCCCUCUCCAGUCAACAUAUGCCACCGCAUCAGUGAGAACUUCACAUCUAUUCUCCCAAAUAUGCUGAAACUUGUCAAGGAUUCGCCACUGAGAAAACUAUACAUGGAAGCAAGAGAGGAUGCCUUGGCUGAGGAUAUUAAAGGUACUGAUUUAAGCACAUACAACUAGUUAAUUUUGCUCAGUCCGUUUUUUUUAACGAGACUGUGUACAGUUCCACUGAACUGGUAUUGCAUUGUUAAUCUGUGGCACCUAGUGGGUGUAUAAUGUAUCAAACAUCUUGAUGAUGUUUAAUUUGUUUAUUUCUCACAUCAUCAUUUUAAAAGCUAAUACAUUUUAGUUUAUUGUACUGAACCUGUAGUAACAUGCGGUAGUCUGUCUUGGAAUUUACAGGUUAUUUGUAUCCUGGUGUCCUGCAUAGCCACUAGCCAUAAGUUAAUGUUCUUUUAGAUCACUGUGCAUGCUUAAUCAAAUUGAUCUUGUUAUGUAUGCUAACAUUCUUUUCUCUUAUGCAGAAAAAUCCAUAACUCCAUAUCCAACCGUUCAACUGAAAGCACAAGGGUGGAAAUUUGCCCUCUCCAGACAGUGCCAGAGUGUGGUCAAUGUCGAGGGAAUUGAGGUCUGUUCUUGCACUUCGGUGGAUGAGGCCUUCAUUGCAGCCUUCUGCAUGUACUUUGUCUUCAACAUGGCAUAUCCUGGAUACUUGAAGAAGACACUGACCUUUCUCCAGAGGCUCAUCGCAAACAUCACGGGGGAUGGAGACAAAUCCCUGCCGGUAACUGUAACUCGAAUUGUCAACCUUCUUCACUGAUCAUGCCUGGACUGCAUCAGUGUACAAAAUGCUCAAAGAGGACCUUUACUCUUAGAAAACUGAUUCAUCAUAUUGGACUUGUACAUGCACACGACCCUCAUUUCAACAUAAGCUGUGGGAUAAGUAACUGCCAGUCUGCUUUUUCCAAGUAUCAUUCUUUUAGGCGGCAUGUUUAUCAAAAAUUCUUGAAAAUUAAGUUCAUUCUGAACGUUGAGACUUUGUGGGUGUUGUGUGGGAAACUUUUACUGCCUUGCUCUUAUGACAAUCACUUCCAUGCUUACCACGUCAAAGUUGACAAUGACUGGAUUUUACUCAGUCCAGGAAAUGAGUUGGACCAUCAAGCUCUCGACACAUAUUUAGUUGAUGAUAGACUGUAUGUUUCCUUGAGGUAUUCUGUGUAAGUAUGUUCUAUCUAAAUGUGUGUUACUUUUUGAAGUAUUCUGCCUCAUGUUAAUGUGACUGCAAUCUUUACAUAUUGUAAUGUUAUGCAUUGACAUUGAUUCAUUUUAUAUGUAGCUAUAUAGAAUUGAAUGAAUUAAGAUUUUUACACUAUAAAUGCUGCCAUGUUUUUCUCCAAACAUACAUUUUCAUUGAUGUUAAUAAAUGGUAAAGAAGCAAUUAUUGUGUAGACAAUUCUGGUACAUUUUUGUCUCCUUAAAGUCCAGAAUAGCUUGUCACUGGGGGGGUACCCUUUUAAAAUUGCUGUACCUUAUAGAUUAAAGGUACAUUUAUGUCUUGCAGGGUACACAACUGUACUUGAACUGGUACAAUUUGAUAAGGUACAUAAAUGGACCAGGACUGAAAGGUACACAAUUGUCUCUCAAAAGGGUACCUCCCCUGGGACAAGCAUUUGUAUCAAUUUAGGUACAAACUGGUACCUCGAUUUUUGACUGUGUGGCAAUGGCAAAGGGCAUGGGUACAUAGCGGGUUCUCUGACAAGAGGUACAAGACGAACUGGCACAGGACAAUGGGAGGUACGGACAAUAUAUACACAAGGGCACCGAUGGAAACUAUCAGGGGCAGGGGAGACAAUAGGACACAGUUAGAAGAAGCAAGAUGCCUGAAACCAGAGGAAAGUUAACUUUAACUUAUUAACGUUUCUUGGACAUGACAAAAUCGGGCCACGCAAUUCCCAGGUUAUUGUCAAUGUUUAUUUAUUUAUUUCUAUUUCAGAUUAUUGUUAAUUGGUAUUGUUAAUUUUGGACAAAGAAAAGGCUGUCUCUGCCCUUCCUACUGCCAGAUUUCAGUGCUUCCAAACUGUCUGUAUUCUCUGUUUGUCUACGGCUUUUUCUGUCUUUGUUGUCUCGUAUUCCCUUGGGGUCUCCCCCUGCCUCUCGAGCCCUCAAGUCAUGUAGAUCUUUGCUCUGCUCGUCCUUCUCUUCCUUGUUUCCUUCUGGUGAGGAGAGAGGAGAAAGGGUAACGUUUGGAUUAGUUCAAACCGUAUAUCGGAGAAAAGGCCAGCCUGACAUUUUACACAGCUGUUACAUUUGAUUGGGCUUCAGUAUGUGAGUGUGUGUGCGCGUGUGAGUGUGUGUGUGAGGUCUGGAGGGAAAAGCUUGCAUAAUGAGAAGGAGAAGGAAAAGAGAUGAAGAUAUGGUUUAUAGAAUAAUCAUCUCCCCUCCCUCCAUCUGCAGCCUCUUCACUCCUGCGUCUUCUUUCUUCACUCACCUCAUUCGCUCUUUUUUACCUCACAUUAUUCUAUGAGUUUCUGUGUCUCAUUCCAUAGUCAUGUCUUGUGGAAUAUUGAUUUGAGUUGAGACUUGCAGAUUUCAUGUCUGAUGGCAGUUCACUCCCUUAACUCGUGCUUUUUCCAUCUGGUCCUCCCAAACAAGAACAGACAGAAAGUCCCUGUAAAAAGAUUCCUGUGGGUCUACGCGUCAACAUAUUCCUUCACUUAUUCCACAGUUUAUAUUGUCUGUUAGUCUGUUAACUGAGACUCUCAUUUUGGUUCAUUAAAAAUCAUUCAUUCAUCUAUUUAUCGUUCUGUCUGCUGCUUCUUUCAGCAAGCCAUACAUCCAUAGUACAUAUUCAAUAAUGGCACCCCUGCACACUAAAAAACAUUCUGGAGAAGGGGUGUAUCAAGUCGCACUGGAUUGCCAGUUCACACCUCACAAAAUCUUUGGAAACCUGAAUGUUUUGUUUGUGUCUAAUGCUGCAGAGAUCUUAAUCAUUGUUGUACAAUUGUUCUGCAAAAAGCACAACCUGUUGACAGCACUUCAUUCAAAAAUGGUAAGACCGUGCCACGCCACAAAGAGGAAAACCGAAAUUGGACAGUCGCAGGAAUACAAAAAUGGUUUCAUUUGAUCUAAGUGGAAGUCCUUGAGUACUUCAUAGUAGUGUGUCACCCCCCUUAGUAGCCAUGCUUAAUCUGUUUCAUUUUUUUGGCUACAGACCUCUUAUGUAAAUGGGAAUAUCACUGCUGGGGCUGUCAGAAUUCUGUGUGUAGGACGCUGUAAACAGAGCUAGCGGGCCGUGUAGGCAGCAGAUCACAAUCUCAAUGGGAGAGCGAUCCAACUCUGUGGGGACGGGAAGACACCAUUUAUGAGAGAGACAUGCAGUGAUUUCUCCAGACAGAACAAGCAUAAAAAAGGCUUUCUUUGUGUGUGAAUAUGGAAAUAGGGCAGUGCAGUGCAAGGGUCCUCCGAGACACUUUAAUUAUGAAUAGGAAAUGAGAGAGACAAAGCAGAGUGGAUCUUUUUCCUCUCACUGAUGUCUGCGACAAUGGGACUUUGACAUGUGUUUUUGUAGGAAAUGAAAGCAAUAUGAUUUAGGAUGUCUGAUGAAAAUACAAUGGAGAGUAUAGGUCAAAGUGGCAUCGUGGCUAGCGUCCCAACCACCUAGUGAGGAUUCGUACACGCAUUCAGAGCAGUGCAUAUCUUUCCUGCAGGUCAGUGCGAAGUCUUUGCAUGUGAUGUGACAGCAGGAGCUGCUUUUUUCACUCGCUCACCCCAGCAGAGCACAUUUUCAGAGGCAUUGAGGCUUGUGGUGGGUUCUGAAUUAUUCCACCACAUUCCAGCAGAGCUAACCCUCCUAACCUUAUAUUUCCAUUGUCGUCCGAAACGUGUGACAGAGAGCUUUGCUCAAGUUAAUUCCAGCUUGUUCUAAGCUGCUUUUAUUUCAAAACUUGACGCUCAUACAUGAAGCAUCGUAUAUCGUUGUCCUCUGAGACAUCUGGAGAUGGUCCAGCUGUGUGGCAGCAGGUUAAUAGGUCAACUAUAGUGUAGAUAUCAUAUCAUGAUAUUUUGAUUACGCUGUUCCACCUUUAGGGCAUAAUGUGUGUUGACAUGGUGUGAAAUGUGCAUACACACGGUUGAAUGGUUAGAAUGGUUGAGUAUAAAAAAUUAUUGUCAUAAUGUGUGUAUUCAUUUUUGAUAAUUGAUUUUGACAUUAAAUGAAAGAUUGAAGGGCAUUCUGUGUAUUAUAAAACAUAUUUUAAUAGCUGUCUGUCAAAUGAUUGCAGUAAUAAUGUGGGUUUUAACAUCUCCUCUGUGAUGUGAUUCAAUAAAAUCCAAUAUCCCAUAAUUGUCACGGUUUGGGUUAAUGUCAUUUUAUUUUGUAGUUUUAUGCCUCUGGUCUUCCUGGGUAACUUCACUUCCUGCUUUGUCCUGUCAUCCCAUGUGAUUGUCUGCCGUGUCAUGAUUGUUUCCACCUGUGUCCAAUCACCUGCACCUCCCUAGUGUAUUUAAGCCAUGUGUGUCUUUGUUAAUUGUACGGAAGCCCAUGUCCACGUCAUAGGUCCUGUUUCCUGUUCCUCGACUACAUUUAUGCCAUUUUGGAUUUGAGUUUGGAAUUAUUGACUAUUAAAGUUCCUUUUUGUUUCCUGCAAACUCUGCGUCUGAGUCCUACCUUCCCCGAGAACCUUCCUGACAAUAAUAUUGUACACUAAAUAUACCUAUGAAAUGAUAAGGGCCAUGAGGCAGCUUUUAAACGGAAGUCUGAAAAAUGAAUGAAUAUAAUGUAUUAAUGGUCUAAUUCAGGGGUCCCCAAUAUCGAUCGCAAACGGUCGAUCACCAGGGCAGUGCUGGUAGAUCAACUGCAUUUCAAAAAAAAAAAAUCCUGUUGUGUCACCACACAUGCGCGGUCGACCGCUUGGUAGCAAUAACUAGCGAUCCUUGCCUAAUAACAAUCACAUUUAAUUUCAUUCAAAAGCAACCCUGGCUCCGAGUAAGGUAAUGACCAAGACUGUAUGAAAUGGUUAUGACGGUUCCCUCGCUUCUGACGUAUGAGUGGCUUGUUAUUAUUCAUAUUGAUUCGUCUGGCACUAUGCAGCGUUUUUGCUCCGCUCACCCGACUACAAGGCAGGUAGAUCGCCAUGACUUCAUCAAUUGAAAAAUAGCUUGCGAGCGUAAAAAGUGUGGGCACGCUUGGCCUGAAUAAAAUGUUUUCUUAUUGAAUGUGUCCAGUAACAAGUGUCUCUCUGCCUCAAACGGCCUUCUCCUGAUUAGUCGUUGGCACAGUACGAUGCCCUGUGGGAGUUUCACCUUCGUUUUAUUGUCAGGAAUUCAGUCGAAGGGAAGCACUUUGUACUAAUAAUAUGGGUUUACUAGAUAUGUCGUUUUUAUUUAAUAUAUAUUUCAUACAUAUGAAAAACUUCUUAAACAUAUUUCUAAUUAAGAUCAUCUUCUCAAAAUCCAUUCACUAUUGUUCACAGUAUUACUUGCCAUUGUCUUGCCAUAGUCUUUUGAAUCUAGUCAGCAGAGAGCAGCAAAUAUGAAAGUUCUGCUUAUGUAUGUUGAAGAUCAACCCAAACAACAACACAACAUUCUUUUGAAGAACUUUGCUGGGAUCUCAGGAACAACUCACUGCAGCACGAGGGAGAACAACGUGUCCUCCCUUGGAGCAGGUGCUCUAGUAGGCCGGUGUGAGCCUCUUUGUUUUUUCUCCAUGUUUGAAAAAUCAUUAUUAGAACAACCUGGAUACAGUAGAGAACAGAUGUGUAAACAAACAUUAAAGUCCUCUGGUGCUCUGAUUGGGGUUGGACAUGAAAUAUUCACCAAUAGGUGUGCGUGGCCUGGCUCUCAGCCCUCAGCCAGGACACCCUGCAUCUUUGUUUCCUUCCACAAAGCCCCACCACUUCCCCAUACAAGGGAAGAAAGGCACUAGAUGAGCCAGAUGGCCGUGGCUCCCAAACGCCCCCACCCAUAUGAAAUAUUCAGCCAAGAAAUGAAAACUUUAUGAUUGUCUUAAAAUAGGAAAGAAAAAGUAAACACCUGUUUAAAUGGCUAAGUUGCAAGACCCCAUGCCCCAAAAAACAUUUGGCAACUAUCUACAGGAUACAGGCGUAACCCUCAUUGUCUUGUCAAUCCUGGUGUUUGUAACACCCUCCUCCCCCAGAGAGAGGGGGGCUGAAGGCCGCUCAUGGGCCCUUAGCUGUGCUUGGUUUAGGGCAGAGAGCAGGUGGAAGGAGUAAAGAUUAGUACAUAAUAUCACUUCUUCCAUUGAGACUGUGUGAGCUUACUGAAAGGUUUCAACCUGCAAACGAGGAAUCAUCUUUAUGUGAUUAUUUGCUUCUAUAUCCACAGCAAGUAAGUUUGAAUGAAGCCAUAUUCCAAAUGUUUGUUUCAUUUUGUCAAAAUAUUAGAGUCAAACGGUUAUUGGGGGGGUUUGGAUCUGUCACAAUAUAUAUUAGAAGGUCCAACCUCUCAAAAUGAGUGCAUGAAAGAAGAUUGUAUUUUUUUUCCAAUUUACUUUCAAUUCAGGAAUGUGAAUAAAUGAUAAGUACACACUGUUCUGGCCAAGAAAAAACACAAAGAUGUUCCAUAUGAAUAAAAGAUAAAGAUUCAUAGUUUAGAGUUGUGGUGAAUGUGAUUAUUUCAUUUCUAAGUGGGUGAUGGCAGCAUGUCGGUUGCUUUAUGUGAAUGUACCCCAUGUAAAAAACAUGUAUACAUUCAGUAUUAAUAGUUUGACUCAAAUAAACAACAAAAAAGUUAAUCAAAAGUUAAGGUUAAACUACUAUUUCAUUUGUGUGAUAAAAUGUAAUGUUCAUGGGUACGAACGUUAAAAAUGCAUUGGUGUUUUUUAUGUAGCCUUUCUGAUAGAAGCUGAUAAUUUGAUGUUUUCUGUCCAGUAGAGGUGUAUGUGGUCACAUGACUGGGCUGACGGGGGCGCGCGUGAGAGGCGAGGAGCGCGCGAGAGAGGGAGGGAAUAGUUGGAACACGGGUUUUGUGUUAUGGAGUGCUACGAAGAGGGCAAUAUUUCCAUAAUGUAUAGAUAAUUUGUAGACUACCUGUGUGAGGAGUAGCAGUGAACUUCCACAUGAAGUUUGACAUGCUGUGACUUCAUGUUACUUCACUCGUUAAUUCAGCGAGUGGCUAAAGUAGCAACGUUAGCCUGCUGCUAGCUAACCCAGCUAACCGCCAAGGCUUUGUCUGGGCUGUUGGCAAAGGUGAACCGAGGGAGCACCACCAGAUAGCGCUUUGAGCAACCCGGUAAUGACCUGACCUAUACACUAGUAUUUCAUUUUAAGACGUUUCUGGGUGUGUUUAUUAUUUGCAAUGCUUAAAAAGUGAGAACAUCCAUUGAGAAGGUACAUUUGUCUGGCAGUCUGUUAAAAUAUAUCUGUGAGGUACGAAGUUUCUUUAUUGAUCCAAGAAUAAGAAUAUAGAGGUAAUUAGCAAUAAGAACACAAUUAAAUUAAGUAAAGAACUCCUUUCUACGAAUUCAUAGUAGACGGGCAUACAAUGAUGGUCUAGUGAGAAUAACUGAAGAUCUGUGAGGAUACAUGUUAAAAAAAAUUCACUGUGAGGUGGCAGUACAAAUAUCAAAUCAAAACAGAAAAAACAAACUUACGAACAUGAAUAUAAAGUCUUGUAUAAUUAUGUUUUAAAAAAUCCAGCUUCAUAUGAAAUUAACUGCUUUGGGUCAACCCACAGGUCAAUUUCACUAAAUUAACAACAGUAUUGUAUUUUUGUUUAAUAUGGGCUAAAAAAAGAUCACUGCUGUCCUGUCCUGGAUUUAAUGUUACAUGUUUCAUGUAACAUUAAAUCCAUCUUAUGUUUUUUAAAAUCUAUUCUUCACAUUCACUCUUAAUACCGCAUUGUUUUGUCCUUAUCAAAAGAACAGGUGCAUGAAGUGCAGGUAGCUUGCCUUAUUAUUUAAACCCGUGCAAUUAAUUGUAACUGAAGAAUAAACUAUUAAAAUGACUAAUGUGUGCAGUAUAUCCGACCCCACGAUGACAUCAGCAGUGUUUUCCCUCAUCUAAAUAGUCUCCCUUCCUCGGUGUUCCCACCUCUCAUAUUUUUCAGCUUUCAGUCAAAAAUAGACUGCAUCUUCACCUUUACCUCAGCGAAUACAUGUUCGAGUAGGAUGUGAUUUACGUUCUGCAUCCUGCCAGCAUGUGUGUGUGUGUGAGAGAGAGAGAGUGUGUUCGGCCUUAAUAACACUACCGUAUUCCUCAGAGAGUUAUCUGCUCAGAAUCAGUAGGGAUCUCUCUCUUCUCUCGGGGAGGUUUUUUUCUCCAAAGACUUGCUCUCCUCCCUGAGAUAUCAAUGAUGAACAACAACAUAGAAAGUAGGCCAAAAGCAUGUCUAAUCACUUCUCCUUCCAGCCAACUUUUGUCGAGGACAAAUGGGAGGGCAUCGUCAAAACCGGAGAAUUCCACCGUUACACAGGGACAGACUUGUGUUUUUCAACAAAAACAAUGUCUCAAGCUACCGAUUGAACCACCUGUUUUAUUGCAACCAUUCAUGUAAAAACCACAAAAAGUAAAACCACUGCAGACUUCGCUCCGUUGAAUGUGAAGUAGAGAGUACAACAGUAGACUUUGAGACAUACAAUGAAAUACAGCCUGCUUAGGAAACGGUUAGAAGUGGGCCAAAGGGAAGCAAAACACAAAGCAUCUACUAAAGAACAAGGACACAUUAUGAUGACUAUCAUGAAUGUACUAUGAGCUCCAGAUACAAAAGGUCAGAACACGCUAAUGAAUUAGGCUUAAAUGAGUUCCACUACCUGUUUUAAUGCACAGGUUUAAAAUUAUUCAAUUAUACAUGGCAUAAUUUUAAUGUCAAGGCACACAGAUGGGACUGAGGGGCGUGCUGAGGCAUUUGAAAUGUUUUAUUGUCCAAAACUGAGGCCAGGCACCCAGAUUAAGUGAAUAAUAUAAAAUGUAUUGAUGUAACCAAGCAAUAGCCUAAAAAGGGCUAAAUAACAUUAGAAGGCACACUGUUGAAAAAUCAAAGCAUACAUUUAUUAAUCCCAACGCUACAAAUACAUUAUAUAUAUUUUAAGAAUCCUGUUGAAAUUAGCAGAGCGAUGACUACGGCUCCCUUUUGGUUUCUCUCUGGGUUCAAUUUCAUAUUACUGUGAUACAUUUUGUAUAGCCCUACAAUCACACUUUAUAAUACAUGCAUAUGCAACAUCCUCUGUCCUUGGACCCUCAGCACAGAAAAAAGUCCCCCAAAAAAGAUUCAAACACAUCCAACACCCAGGCCAGUGCCCAAAGGCAAUGAAUGUAAGGGUCAUAUGGGUGACAUAUGAAGGUCAGUUGGUUGUUGAACAUACACAAGGUAAUUGGCGAUGAGAUUGAGGUGAGCUGCAUGCAGCAUUUGGGACAAAGAAGUGUUAAUUCACUUGGCCCCAUCCUGCUGACCGUAGCACUUUCUAUUCCGCAACUAAGGUGCUUAAUGUGAUCUUAGAACCAGAGCUUCUGAAUUCCUCACACGGCUCGAUUAUGCAGAUGGGAUCUGCUUUCAUAGAGAUAUCAGAAAGGGUGUGACAUAACGUAGUUCCAAAUGUUUCAUUAUUACAACGUAUUUAAAAGUAAUUUAAUACUUGUUUAAAAUCCAAUUCAGACAUAAAGUAAACGGUUAUUGUGUUGCAUUCUAGCUGGUCUGCAGUUGAUUUUGUUUUUAUGUACUUUUGAUACAUUUGAUUUGAUUUCAUUAUUUACAAUGGAUUUAAGCUGUUGUUUCUUCUCAAUCAAAAAUAAGACUUGAUUUUUGUCUAAUAAAAAUUCAUCAGUGCAUCGUACAAAAUUAUAUAUAUAUA